GAUGAAGAACGUAGCAAAAUGCGAUAAGUAAUGUGAAUUGCAGAAUUCAGUGAAUCAUCGAAUCUUUGAACGCACAUUGCGCCCGCUGGUAUUCCGGCGGGCAUGCCUGUUCGAGCGUCAUUACAACCCUCAGGCCCCCGGGCCUGGCGUUGGGGAUCGGCGGAAGCCCCCUGCGGGCACAACGCCGUCCCCCAAAUACAGUGGCGGUCCCGCCGCAGCUUCCAUUGCGUAGUAGCUAACACCUCGCAACUGGAGAGCGGCGCGGCCACGCCGUAAAACACCCAACUUCUGAAUGUUGACCUCGAAUCAGGUAGGAAUACCCGCUGAACUUAAGCAUAUCAAUAAGCGGAGGA
RNAcentral lists this unclassified non-coding RNA (353 nucleotides) under soil metagenome. RNAcentral describes it as "partial contains 5.8S ribosomal RNA, internal transcribed spacer 2, and large subunit ribosomal RNA". The stretch from base 1 to 120 matches the Rfam family "5.8S ribosomal RNA", at positions 35 to 154 of the family's 154-position model. The record is from RNAcentral.